RNAcentral lists this ribosomal RNA (520 nucleotides) under uncultured bacterium. RNAcentral describes it as "partial 16S ribosomal RNA". It matches the Rfam family "Bacterial small subunit ribosomal RNA", at positions 28 to 507 of the family's 1533-position model. The record is from RNAcentral.
GAUGAACGCUGGCGGCGUGCCUAAUACAUGCAAGUCGAACGCACGCUCGAGUAGCUUGAUUGUCUUUGCUUCGGAUCGGACGAGAGUGUAGCGAGUGGCUAACCUGUCUGUAACACGUGGGUAACCUGCCCUAACGGGGGCUAUUACAUGUGGAAACUGUUACUAAUACCGUUUAAAACUGAACAACGCUCGUUCUAUGGCUUAUAGAUGGUUUCGGCUAUCAUUAUCUGAUGGAUCCGCGGUGCAUUAGUUAGUUGGUAAGGUAAAGGCUGACCAAGGCAACGAUGCAUAGCCGACCUGAGAGGGUAAUCGGCCACACUGGAACUGAGACACGGCCCAGACUCCUACGGGAGGCAGCAGUAGGGAAUCUUCCACAAUGGACGAAAGUCUGAUGGAGCAACGCCGCGUGAGUGAAGAAGGUCUUCGGAUCGUAAAACUCUGUUGUUAGGGAAGAACAUAUCUGUAAGUAACUGAGCAGAUCGUGACGGUACCCAAUCAGAAAGCCACGGCUAACUACGUG